Non-coding RNA from Pelobates cultripes (western spadefoot toad), 278 nucleotides. The record is from the annotation of a GenBank genome assembly. Lineage: Eukaryota; Metazoa; Chordata; Amphibia; Anura; Pelobatidae.
GCAAAUGAGACCACCGCCUGUGACACAGCCUCGGAAUACACAAAUGACAAGGCACACGGCUCAUAGAUAGGAUACCGACUACAAUAGAUGAAGCAUAACCACAACAUCUCACAACACGCUCCAGCACUGUAUGCUAACAGCACUAGUAAACUCCACAUAAACACACAAAUGUAUGGACAGCUAUAAGGGUAACAGGAUGUUCCGCUAUAUCAAACAGCCCAACAAGAGUACGCCAAAGAGAGACAUCCUAUAGCCACCUACACAAAACUAUGUCCCCU